Molecule: small RNA, 74 nt
Filed under: Staphylococcus aureus
Lineage: Bacteria; Bacillati; Bacillota; Bacilli; Caryophanales; Staphylococcaceae
Description: Transcript
Source: RNAcentral
UCUAUUAGCUAUUGCUUGUUGUAAUUCCAUCUAAAAUCGCUCCUCCACGAACAAUGAUAAUACUUCUCAAUUAU